RNAcentral lists this ribosomal RNA (900 nucleotides) under uncultured bacterium. Its description in RNAcentral is "bacterial SSU rRNA". It matches the Rfam family "Bacterial small subunit ribosomal RNA", at positions 601 to 1501 of the family's 1533-position model. The record is from RNAcentral.
CCCCCAGCUCAACUGUGGAUCGGCAAUGGAAACUGUGUGACUUGAGUGUGGUAGGGGUAGAGGGAAUUCCUAGUGUAGCGGUGAAAUGCGUAGAUAUUAGGAAGAACACCAGUGGCGAAGGCGCUCUACUGGGCCAUAACUGACACUGAUGGACGAAAGCUAGGGGAGCGAAAGGGGUUAGAUACCCCUGUAGUCCUAGCUGUAAACGAUGGACACUAGGUGUUGGCCGUAUCGACCCGGUCAGUAUCGAAGCAAACGCGUUAAGUGUCCCGCCUGGGGAGUACGCACGCAAGUGUGAAACUCAAAGGAAUUGACGGGGGCCCGCACAAGCGGUGGAGUAUGUGGUUUAAUUCGAUGCAACGCGAAGAACCUUACCAGGGAUUGACAUCCUACGAACUCUUUUGAAAGAAAGGGGUGCCUUCGGGAGCGUAGAGACAGGUGGUGCAUGGCUGUCGUCAGCUCGUGUCGUGAGAUGUUGGGUUAAGUCCCGCAACGAGCGCAACCCUCGUCCUUAGUUGCCAUCAUUAAGUUGGGCACUUUAAGGAGACUGCCGGUGACAAACCGGAGGAAGGUGGGGAUGACGUCAAGUCAUCAUGCCCCUUACAUCCUGGGCUACACACGUACUACAAUGCUACGGACAAAGGGCAGCCAACUAGCGAUAGUGCGCAAAUCCCAUAAACCGUGGCUCAGUUCAGAUUGCAGGCUGCAACUCGCCUGCAUGAAGGCGGAAUCGCUAGUAAUCGCAGGUCAGCAUACUGCGGUGAAUACGUUCCCGGGCCUUGUACACACCGCCCGUCACACCAUGGAAGUUGGCCACGCCCGAAGUCGUUACCCCAACCUUAGGGAGGGGGACGCCGAAGGCAGGGCUGAUGACUGGGGUGAAGUCGUAACAAGGUAACC